UGUGAAUUGCAGGACACAUGAACACCGAUACGUUGAACGCAUAUUGCACAUCGCACGACACAGUGCGAUGUACACAUUUUUGAGUGCCCAUCCU
RNAcentral lists this ribosomal RNA (94 nucleotides) under Anopheles homunculus. RNAcentral describes it as "partial 5.8S ribosomal RNA". It matches the Rfam family "5.8S ribosomal RNA", at positions 66 to 154 of the family's 154-position model. From Rfam's summary of the family: 5.8S ribosomal RNA (5.8S rRNA) is a component of the large subunit of the eukaryotic ribosome. The record is from RNAcentral. Lineage: Eukaryota; Metazoa; Arthropoda; Insecta; Diptera; Culicidae.